AACGAACGCUGGCGGCAUGCCUAACACAUGCAAGUCGAACGAGACCUUCGGGUCUAGUGGCGCACGGGUGCGUAACGCGUGGGAACCUGCCUUUAGGUUCGGAAUAACUCAGAGAAAUUUGAGCUAAUACCGGAUGAUGUCUUCGGACCAAAGAUUUAUCGCCUUUAGAUGGGCCCGCGUUGGAUUAGCUAGUUGGUGGGGUAAAGGCCUACCAAGGCGACGAUCCAUAGCUGGUCUGAGAGGAUGAUCAGCCACACUGGGACUGAGACACGGCCCAGACUCCUACGGGAGGGAGCAGUGGGGAAUAUUGGACAAUGGGCGAAAGCCUGAUACAGCCAUGCCGCGUGAGUGAUGAAGGCCUUAGGGUUGUAAAGCUCUUUUACCCGAGAUGAUAAUGACAGUAUCGGGAGAAUAAGCUCCGGCUAACUCCGUG
RNAcentral lists this ribosomal RNA (433 nucleotides) under uncultured bacterium. Its description in RNAcentral is "partial 16S ribosomal RNA". It matches the Rfam family "Bacterial small subunit ribosomal RNA", at positions 29 to 507 of the family's 1533-position model. The record is from RNAcentral.